UCCCGUGAAUCAUCGAGUCUUUGAACGCAAGUUGCGCCCGAAGCCAUUAGGUUAAGGGCACGCCUGCCUGGGUGUCACGCACCGUGCUGCUCCCUAACCCCCUUUUAAUGGGCGGGGACCUUUGGGAACGAAUGCUGGCUUCCCGUGCAAACAAUGGCGCGGUUAGCUGAAAUACUAUAGUCCUUGGCGACGCGUCUCAUGACGAGUUGUGGAUAACAACGUCUUCUUCGGGUCGCCACACGACAAACUAUAAAGAUUCGUGGGACUUUGUUUACAUGAUGAAAAUAGAGGUCCCUUUGCGACCCCAGGUCAGGUGGGGCUACCCGCUGAGUUUAAGCAUAUCAAUAAGCGGAGGAA
Molecule: ribosomal RNA, 357 nt
Filed under: Santalum album (white sandalwood)
Lineage: Eukaryota; Viridiplantae; Streptophyta; Magnoliopsida; Santalales; Santalaceae
Description: eukaryotic LSU rRNA
Rfam family: Eukaryotic large subunit ribosomal RNA (bases 300-357)
Source: RNAcentral